RNAcentral lists this ribosomal RNA (238 nucleotides) under uncultured bacterium. RNAcentral describes it as "partial 16S ribosomal RNA". It matches the Rfam family "Bacterial small subunit ribosomal RNA", at positions 16 to 236 of the family's 1533-position model. The record is from RNAcentral.
GACAUGGCUCGGGAUGAACGCUGGCGGCGUGCCUAACACAUGCAAGUCGAGCGAAGCACUUUGCUUAGAUUCUUCGGAUGAAGAGGAUUGUGACUGAGCGGCGGACGGGUGAGUAACGCGUGGGUAACCUGCCUCAUACAGGGGGAUAACAGUUAGAAAUGACUGCUAAUACCGCAUAAGACCACAGCACCGCAUGGUGCGGGGGUAAAAACUCCGGUGGUAUGAGAUGGACCCGCGU